CCUACGGGAGGCAGCAGUGGGGAAUAUUGGGCAAUGGAGGCAACUCUGACCCAGCAAUGCCGCGUGAGGGAUGACGGCAAUAUGAUUGUAAAGCUCUUUUCUUUGGAACGAAAAAAUGACGGUACCAAAGGAAUAAGCCCCGGCUAACUACGAGCCAGCAGCCGAGGUCAUACGUAGGGGGCAAGCGAUGUUCGGGAUGCCUUGGCGUUAAGGGUGUGUAGGGGGUUUGAUAAGUUAGAUUUGUAAUACCCAGGGCUUAAAUCGGGUAGUGCAUCUGAAACUGUUAGUCUUGAGUACUGGAGAGGAUAGUGGAAUUCCUGGUGUAGCGGUGAAAUGCGUAGAUAUUAGGAGGAACAUCAGUUGCGAAGGCAACUAACUGGACAGCAACUGACACUGAGGCACGAAAGCGUGGGGAGCAAACAGGAUUAGAUACCCGUGUAGUC
RNAcentral lists this ribosomal RNA (443 nucleotides) under uncultured bacterium. RNAcentral describes it as "partial 16S ribosomal RNA". It matches the Rfam family "Bacterial small subunit ribosomal RNA", at positions 338 to 795 of the family's 1533-position model. The record is from RNAcentral.